This 75-nucleotide transfer RNA is filed under the name Nitrospinota bacterium. RNAcentral's name for it is "tRNA-Glu". The stretch from base 9 to 64 matches the Rfam family "tRNA", at positions 10 to 63 of the family's 71-position model. Rfam says of the family: Transfer RNA (tRNA) molecules are approximately 80 nucleotides in length. Their secondary structure includes four short double-helical elements and three loops (D, anti-codon, and T loops). Further hydrogen bonds mediate the characteristic L-shaped molecular structure. tRNAs have two regions of fundamental functional importance: the anti-codon, which is responsible for specific mRNA codon recognition, and the 3' end, to which the tRNAs corresponding amino acid is attached (by aminoacyl-tRNA synthetases). tRNAs cope with the degeneracy of the genetic code in two manners: having more than one tRNA (with a specific anti-codon) for a particular amino acid; and 'wobble' base-pairing, i.e. permitting non-standard base-pairing at the 3rd anti-codon position. Lineage: Bacteria; Pseudomonadati; Nitrospinota. The record is from RNAcentral.
GCCGNNUCGUCUAGAGGCCCAGGACACCGCCCUUUCAAGGCGGCGACGGGGAUUCGAAUUCCCCUGGGGGCACCC